This 380-nucleotide ribosomal RNA is filed under the name uncultured eukaryote. Its description in RNAcentral is "SSU rRNA". It matches the Rfam family "Eukaryotic small subunit ribosomal RNA", at positions 587 to 972 of the family's 1831-position model. The record is from RNAcentral.
AGCUCCAAUAGCGUAUAUUAAAGUUGCUGCAGUUAAAAAGCUCGUAGUUGGAUUUGUGGCGCGGCCGUCCGGCGGGGGCUCUUCACUGAGCCCGUUUGUCCUGGUUUUCGGCCGCUCCUUUCUCGGGUAGCGUGUGGCUGGCAUUAGGUUGUUGGCCGCUUCGCGCCCGUCUUUUACUGUGAAAAAAUUAGAGUGUUCAAAGCAGGCUUAGGCCGUUGGAUUAAUAAGAUAGGGCCACGACGGUCUAUUUUGUUGGUUUGCACGUUGUGGUAAUGGUUAACAGGAAUAGUUGGGGGUAUUCGUAUUCAAUUGUCAGAGGUGAAAUUCUUGGAUUUGUGGAAGACGAACUACUGCGAAAGCAUUUACCAAGGAUGUUUUCA